This 433-nucleotide ribosomal RNA is filed under the name uncultured bacterium. Its description in RNAcentral is "partial 16S ribosomal RNA". It matches the Rfam family "Bacterial small subunit ribosomal RNA", at positions 29 to 507 of the family's 1533-position model. The record is from RNAcentral.
AACGAACGCUGGCGGCAUGCCUAACACAUGCAAGUCGAACGAGACCUUCGGGUCUAGUGGUGCACGGGUGCGUAACGCGUGGGAAUCUGCCCUUGGGUUCGGGAUAACAGUUGGAAACGACUGCUAAUACCGGAUGAUGACUUCGGUCCAAAGAUUUAUCGCCCAGGGAUGAGCCCGCGUCGGAUUAGCUAGUUGGUGAGGUAAGAGCUCACCAAGGCGACGAUCCGUAGCUGGUCUGAGAGGAUGAUCAGCCACACUGGGACUGAGACACGGCCCAGACUCCUACGGGAGGCAGCAGUGGGGAAUAUUGGACAAUGGGCGAAAGCCUGAUCCAGCAAUGCCGCGUGAGUGAUGAAGGCCUUAGGGUUGUAAAGCUCUUUUACCCGGGAUGAUAAUGACAGUACCGGGAGAAUAAGCCCCGGCUAACUCCGUG